RNAcentral lists this ribosomal RNA (492 nucleotides) under uncultured bacterium. RNAcentral's name for it is "partial 16S ribosomal RNA". It matches the Rfam family "Bacterial small subunit ribosomal RNA", at positions 29 to 507 of the family's 1533-position model. The record is from RNAcentral.
AGUGAACGCUGGCGGUAGGCCUAACACAUGCAAGUCGAACGGCAGCACAGUAAGAGCUUGCUCUUACGGGUGGCGAGUGGCGGACGGGUGAGGAAUACAUCGGAAUCUACUUUUUCGUGGGGGAUAACGUAGGGAAACUUACGCUAAUACCGCAUACGACCUACGGGUGAAAGCAGGGGAUCUUCGGACCUUGCGCGAUUGAAUGAGCCGAUGUCGGAUUAGCUAGUUGGCGGGGUAAAGGCCCACCAAGGCGACGAUCCGUAGCUGGUCUGAGAGGAUGAUCGGCCACACUGGAACUGAGACACGGUCCAGAGUCCUACGGGAGGCAGCAGUGGGGAAUAUUGGACAAUGGGCGCAAGCCUGAUCCAGCCAUACCGCGUGGGUGAAGACGGCCUUCGGGUUGUAAAGCCCUUUUGUUGGGAAAGAAAAGCAGCAGGUUAAUACCCCGCUGUUCUGACGGUACCCAAAGAAUAAGCACCGGCUAACUUCGUG